UACGUAGGCAGCGAGCGUUGUUCGGAGUUACUGGGCGUAAAGGGUGCGUAGGCGGUUGUUUAAGUUUGGUGUGAAAUCUCCCGGCUCAACCGGGAGGGUGCGCCGAAUACUGAAUGACUAGAGUGCGGGAGAGGAAAGUGGAAUUCCUGGUGUAGCGGUGAAAUGCGUAGAUAUCAGGAGGAACACCGGUGGUGUAGACAGCUUUCUGGACCGUAACUGACGCUGAUGCACGAAAGCUGGGGGAGCAAACAGG
RNAcentral lists this ribosomal RNA (253 nucleotides) under uncultured bacterium. RNAcentral's name for it is "partial 16S ribosomal RNA". It matches the Rfam family "Bacterial small subunit ribosomal RNA", at positions 524 to 776 of the family's 1533-position model. The record is from RNAcentral.